CUCUCUCCUGUGCUCCUGCGAAAGCAUCCCUUCCAUUUGGCAAUGUACCCAGAGGAGUCUGCAAAACUGCUAUUAAGGAAGGGCUGUGGAAGGAACUGGUUGAGGAAUGACGUGAGGCUUGAAGGACUGCCUGAGCUGGAGCUUGCAGCCAAACCUCUGUGCCCUGCAGCACCAGUUAGUCCAUCUCCCCGACUCGGGCUGAGUCCUGUUGAAACCUGUUUGUACUGGAGGCCUCCACAUUAUCUGGUGCCAAUGAGUUCCCUGGUUCAAUUAUGUAUGUGAAACAGCACAAAAAUCUUGAAAAAAAUCAGCCAGACGAAAGAGUGCUUAACAACCUGCGUUAGCAGCUGAGAGGGGUUCACAGAUAUAAAGGUGUUGGUUAUAUCUCAAGAUGAGAAGUGUUGCUACUUCUUCUACAUGAAGAACUUUGCUUCAUUUUGCUCUGAGUAGAAAACAAGAGUCUCUGCCUGACUGGUUGCACUGCACUCCUCCCUUUCCCUCCUUUGCCAAGAUGUGUCUGUAGGCAUGCUCCCCAAGCUAUUUUAAAGACAGGCUGGCACUAAGGCACUCACAGUCAAAGGAGAGAAAAAAGAUGAAGACAGAUAUUUGCUCUUUGCUGGCAGGGGACAGCAAGCCACUGGAAAAGUGUCCCUUUGGAGGAUAAGAGAGACUCUUCCUCUUUGGCUGGCAGAGUAACACACACAGCUCCCAGCUCUCCAAAGGGAAAACAACUGCCUGUAGGCGCAAUAUUCUGUUCAUGGGGGAAACAGAGAAGCUUUGCCUUGAAUCUUGCAGGACAAUUUGUUGCCUGAAAGGAUCCACCGAGAUGCAACAAGCUCUGUUUAGAAACGGACAUAUCCAGCCUGGAGCAUGGGGAGACAGUAAAGCAUCUGUUUGACUUCCUCAACGGGUUUACUGUGUGUAAAUCAUUUAUCCCUGCUCCUGCUCCCCUUCCUUGACUCUCACAAUUUGUAUUUUUGUGUUAAAAAAAGCGACGCCUGCCUUUCUGUUGGUGAGCAGCUUGGGACACAUUGCCUGGAGUCUGACCUCAAAGUAGGGUGGGAUUUGAAUCUGAAAUCCACUCAGUUUGAUCUCCCAAGAACUGCCGCGCUGCACAGCUUGUACAUCUUUAGUAAAAGGCAAGCCUUCAAAUCCAUCCUUUUCAGAGGCCUGUCUCUGUUGUCAGCUGCCAUCUUUUGAGAGAAAGAUCUAAAAUUAGAGAAAAGCUGCCCUCCACUGCUGGAGAAUACCGCUGCUGUGACAUAUGAAAGCAGAAAUAAGCUUCAAAUAAAGGUCUUCUGCUUAGGCUCACGUAACGAGCAAGAAAGGCUUUGGGUCUUUCCUGUCCAGACCGGCAUUUGUGGGGAUCUGAUUUAAAUAGGCAGCCACAGCACCAACGCUUAUCUUUGUCUGCCUAAGCGU
Molecule: long non-coding RNA, 1422 nt
Organism: Lepidothrix coronata (blue-crowned manakin)
Lineage: Eukaryota; Metazoa; Chordata; Aves; Passeriformes; Pipridae
Exons: 5
Source: RefSeq, a predicted model, not a curated record